GGAUUAGAUACCCUGGUAGUCCACGCCCUAAACGAUGUCUACUAGUUGUUGGUGGAGUAAAAUCCAUUAGUAACGCAGCUAACGCGUGAAGUAGACCGCCUGGGGAGUACGGUCGCAAGAUUAAAACUCAAAGGAAUUGACGGGGGCCCGCACAAGCGGUGGAUUAUGUGGAUUAAUUCGAUGCAACGCGAAAAACCUUACCUGGCCUUGACAUGCCACUAACGAAGCAGAGAUGCAUUAGGUGCUCGAAAGAGAAAGUGGACACAGGUGCUGCAUGGCUGUCGUCAGCUCGUGCCG
Molecule: ribosomal RNA, 297 nt
Filed under: uncultured bacterium
Lineage: Bacteria
Description: partial 16S ribosomal RNA
Rfam family: Bacterial small subunit ribosomal RNA
Source: RNAcentral